RNAcentral lists this ribosomal RNA (433 nucleotides) under uncultured bacterium. RNAcentral's name for it is "partial 16S ribosomal RNA". It matches the Rfam family "Bacterial small subunit ribosomal RNA", at positions 29 to 507 of the family's 1533-position model. The record is from RNAcentral.
AACGAACGCUGGCGGCAUGCCUAACACAUGCAAGUCGAACGAGACCUUCGGGUCUAGUGGCGCACGGGUGCGUAACGCGUGGGAACCUGCCCUUAGGUUCGGAAUAACUCUCCGAAAGGGGUGCUAAUACCGGAUAAUGUCUUCGGACCAAAGAUUUAUCGCCUUUGGAUGGGCCCGCGUUGGAUUAGCUAGUUGGUAGGGUAAAAGCCUACCAAGGCGACGAUCCAUAGCUGGUCUGAGAGGAUGAUCAGCCACACUGGGACUGAGACACGGCCCAGACUCCUACGGGAGGCAGCAGAGGGGAAUAUUGGACAAUGGGCGAAAGCCUGAUCCAGCAAUGCCGCGUGAGUGAUGAAGGCCUUAGGGUUGUAAAGCUCUUUUACCCGGGAUGAUAAUGACAGUACCGGGAGAAUAAGCUCCGGCUAACUCCGUG